AUAAAAGCGAUAUUAGUUUAUUUUAAUUUGCUUCGUUUAAACAGUUUUUUAAUAUCAAAUUUAUCUUAAAAAUCACCCUAUAUUUACGAGAUGUAGUUUCUAUUUUUGUGGCUUUAACUUCUUCUUUUUGUGGUUUUAAUUAAGUUUGCCCAUGAUCUUCUGUAACUGUUUUAUAUUAACAUGUUAAGAGCAUAUUAUUCUCUACCAAAUUUUUCAUUCUUCCGUCCAUCUUCUUCUCAGUUUUUUUUUUUUUUUUUGUAUCUGAUCUUCCUCUCAGUUUUUUCAAGUUUUUUAUCAGUUUAAAAUUUAUAGUUCUAGGCUAUUUGAUUUAUGAACAAAAAACAACAAGAAUCAAAGUUUUUUUUUUAUGAAUGAUGAUUGUACUGUUUUUUCUUAUGUAGGAUUUGGAAGGAAAGUAGGGUAUCCUGGUCAAACGAAUCUGAUAAAUUAUAGUCUUCGUCUUCCUCGUCAGACUGCUGAAAGAAGAAUACGCAUAACAGUUUUCUGAGUUUCUUAUGGCGGAAGUUAGUGGAAAAACAGUGUACUGUUUGGUGUUUCAAGAGGAUAACUGCUGCAAAAUCUCUUGGAGAGGAUAUUUUCUGUUAGAAUUCAUACUACCAGAAUCUCUUGCAAGUGUAGAAGAGUAGAAGUCUAUGAGAAAAGCAGCAUUCUUCGAUGAAUUUCAUCAGUAUUGAAUUCAUUCAACUGAAGAUUGAAUAUAAAAGCAAAGGAACUUUUUUUAUUUGUUUUUAAUAUUUUUCUCUAUGAAUCCAUCUUUCUUUUGUUUCCUGUUUUUUUUUUGUUCUUCAGAUUCUAUCACCAGUGUAAAGAAAA
RNAcentral lists this long non-coding RNA (834 nucleotides) under Brassica rapa (field mustard). RNAcentral's name for it is "long non-coding RNA (BRAP_LNC004188)". The record is from RNAcentral. Lineage: Eukaryota; Viridiplantae; Streptophyta; Magnoliopsida; Brassicales; Brassicaceae.